This 209-nucleotide long non-coding RNA is filed under the name Salvia miltiorrhiza (redroot sage). RNAcentral's name for it is "long non-coding RNA (SMIL_LNC002591)". The record is from RNAcentral. Lineage: Eukaryota; Viridiplantae; Streptophyta; Magnoliopsida; Lamiales; Lamiaceae.
UUUCUUAAAUGAUAUAAUAUUUAUGAUUAUGAUUUGAGUUAAUGUUAUGCUUGAAACUAAUUGACUUGCCGAGUUUUGUUGAUAAUGACUUGUGUGUUACCCUCUACUGAUGAAACGAAUUCGGUCCUGCCACAAACGGGAUUUUGUGCACAGAGGUGACUGUGAGCCGUCUAUCGGGUCGGCCGGUCACGGUACUUGAGAGGGAGGCC